UAUUUAUAAUAUAUACAACCUGCCUGCCACCCUCUUCCGGUGGCAGUUGCAGUUGCACUUGCAGUUGGUAGUGCUUUCCACCACCCUUAUCUCCUGCAUCCUCUCUAUUCAGAAGCGCCUGCUGCAAGCAGAGCAUGAAGGGCAAUAGAAGACAAGAUGGAAUUGACAGCAAAAGAUGAAAUUAAGAGACAAAGGUGAUAUAAGAAAGGGUAGAUAAGAAUAUGACAAUGAGAAACAAAAGCCAAAUAUCGUGUCGUUUGGGUAAAAAGGAGAAGUUCGUGUACAAAAAUGAGUCAAGUGUUGGAAGUUUUCUGUUGUGUCUUGUUCACUGGAUUCUUGUGAGAAGUUGAAUCAAGACCAACUUUUGUAGCGUCAUCUCAUUUCAAAUUCUUUUGCCUUAAAAUAACUCUUGAGGCCUGCAAAGGGAGUUUUCAGACUUCACUUGCUUCGGAAUUAAAAUGUGCGAUUCGGAAA
Molecule: long non-coding RNA, 474 nt
Organism: Vigna unguiculata (cowpea)
Lineage: Eukaryota; Viridiplantae; Streptophyta; Magnoliopsida; Fabales; Fabaceae
Source: RefSeq, a predicted model, not a curated record